This 691-nucleotide long non-coding RNA is filed under the name Medicago truncatula (barrel medic). Its description in RNAcentral is "long non-coding RNA (MTRU_LNC005165)". Lineage: Eukaryota; Viridiplantae; Streptophyta; Magnoliopsida; Fabales; Fabaceae. The record is from RNAcentral.
CUAGCUUCUUAUUAAUCUGGUCACGCAUAAGGAAGAAAGCCUCAAUGUCGAAACCACCGACACUCACCUGUAUCCUAAACCUAUAAAAAAUAUUUACAUAACAUAACAAUCAAUAAUCCAACAUUUUCAUCAAUUAAAUGUAUGUUUAAUCACCAAAAAAUCGAUAAGAUAUCGAGAAACAAAAUAAUUGAAUACCUAGGUUCAUCUAACGGUAAUUGGUGAUUAAUCCACUUGUCAACACCCUAAUCAACACCAAAAUAGCAAGAAACCACAAUAAACAAACUUUCAUCCUUGGAUGAGAUAAAUUUAACAAAACUCCUAAUAGGCUUAUCACAAACAAAUUCAUGCAAUCCAACAAUUUGAGAUAUUAUAGAUAUAAUUGACCAACACAAUAAACAAAUAUGACGGAGAGAUGAUCAAUACUCACAAUGAAAUUUGGUCUUCUCCCCAUCAUAUUUGUUUAUUGUUUUGGUCAAUUAUGUUUAAAAUAUCUCAAAUUGUUGGGUUGCAUUAAUUUGUUGGUGAUAGGUCUACUAUGAGUUUUGUUAAAUUGAUCUCAUCUAAGGACGAAGGUUUGUUUAUUGUGGUUGCUUGCUAUUUCGGUGUUGAUGAGGGUGUUGAUAAGUGGAUUGAUAAUUAAUCUUUUUUUAGGUUUAUGCUACAUGUGAGUGUCGGUGAUUUCAACAUUGAG